RNAcentral lists this ribosomal RNA (253 nucleotides) under uncultured bacterium. RNAcentral's name for it is "partial 16S ribosomal RNA". It matches the Rfam family "Bacterial small subunit ribosomal RNA", at positions 524 to 776 of the family's 1533-position model. The record is from RNAcentral.
UACGAAGGGGGCUAGCGUUGUUCGGAAUUACUGGGCGUAAAGCGCGUGUAGGCGGGUCUUUAAGUCAGGGGUGAAAUGCCAAGGCUCAACCUUGGAACUGCCUUUGAUACUGAAGACCUUGAGUCCGAGAGAGGUGAGUGGAAUUGCGAGUGUAGAGGUGAAAUUCGUAGAUAUUCGCAAGAACACCAGUGGCGAAGGCGGCUCACUGGCCCGGUACUGACGCUGAGGUGCGAAAGCGUGGGGAGCAAACAGG